Molecule: ribosomal RNA, 207 nt
Filed under: uncultured bacterium
Lineage: Bacteria
Description: partial 16S ribosomal RNA
Rfam family: Bacterial small subunit ribosomal RNA
Source: RNAcentral
UGCGUAGGUGGGCAGGUAAGUCAGUGGUGAAAUCUCCGGGCUUAACUCGGAAACUGCCAUUGAUACUAUCUGUCUUGAAUACCGUGGAGGUCAGCGGAAUAUGUCAUGUAGCGGUGAAAUGCUUAGAUAUGACAUAGAACACCAAUUGCGAAGGCAGCUGGCUACACGAAUAUUGACACUGAUGCACGAAAGCGUGGGGAUCAAACA